RNAcentral lists this long non-coding RNA (1229 nucleotides) under Eptatretus burgeri (inshore hagfish). Its description in RNAcentral is "lncRNA (ENSEBUG00000017250.1)". The record is from RNAcentral. Lineage: Eukaryota; Metazoa; Chordata; Myxini; Myxiniformes; Myxinidae.
AAACGAAAUAGAUUAUUUUGAUAUAAAUAACACCUUUUCAAGCUAGGUUUAAAAUAGAAUGCAAAGUACAGUAUUUGUGGUGGUGCAUUGUGACGUCAUGCAGCACUGUGACGUCACAGAGACGAAAUCAACUUGUUGUUUCGUGACUCGAUAACCAUCAACAGUCGCGAUCAUGCCGUCCAGGACGAAUGUCGUGGUUUUCAGCGGCGUGUUUAGCUUGAUGAAAUUGAUUUUAUUGAUCCAUAAUUCACUCGUUAAUAAAGAACCGAUCGAUAUGAACAUCACGGAAGCACCUGCACAGCCACAGAUCCUUCCAGAAAAAGUACCUGUAAACACUUGUCCAAGGGAGCCCCCCAUAUGGAGUUCCUCAAGGUGGACACAAACUCAUUGGAUGCUCCCCAUGACAAUGGCAUCAAGUAACAAAUCUGUGUCCUUGGAUGAUCCUCUUGUGUCCACCUCUAUCAAAAAUGAUACACUGAAGCUCGAGGAUACAAAAGGGAGGCUGAUGUCUGCAGAGGAACAAACCUCCGCACGAAGCUCACCGGACAAUGUACCAGCGACUUUGAUGACCCCAGUGACUGAGAUCGCUGGAACUGAAACUGUAUCUCUCGAUUAUGUGGAUGUGCAAGAAUGGCUGGACAUUAAUUCACUGGAAGAUGAUGAAGAGGAAGAGUUGGUGGAAAUAACCUGGGAAAGCAUCAUUGGUGUUGUAUUCAUCAUUUUAGAUGUUUACUGGGUCGGUUCCCAUUUGACAAAGUGGAUAAAGAGUUUGGAGAAGAUUUCCACUAAAAGAAAGAGCAACUCUAAAAAGAGGAAGAGACAGCGUAAUAUUUCUUGAAAGUUUACAUGCUUAGGAUGUUUGUGCUUUUAUGACAAUAAAAUAAAUAUACAACAUGAAGCAUCGUGUUCGAAUCUUAUUUUGUCAAUGUAUAUUUCCAUCGGCUGUUUUGGCCUUUAUUGACCCCAAUAUGCAUGCAUAGUUGGUUGGCAGCUGUGUACAUCUCAAAUGUUAUUAACCUUCGAAAUAUUGUCCACCAGGACAGUCUCCAAUGUUAACAAGUAAAAAAAGACAUAAAAUGUCAUAGCCCUCAUUGUUUUAGUUAUUUAGCUGUUUGGACCUAAAGAGCUAAACCCAUAUUUAUAUGAACAACUAAAAUGGCCGCCAGUCUUCCAAUCAGCCAUCAUUGAUCAGAUCACAAAAUAAAGAGAGGGGCACGUGUAUGCCAUCA